AACGAACGCUGGCGGCAGGCCUAACACAUGCCAGUCGAGCGAGACCUUCGGGUCUAGCGGCGGACGGGUGAGUAACGCGUGGGAACGUGCCCUUUUCUGCGGAAUAGCCUCGGGAAACUGAGCGUAAUACCGCAUACGCCCUUUGGGGGAAAGAUUUAUCGGAAAAGGAUCGGCCCGCGUUGGAUUAGGUAGUUGGUGGGGUAAUGGCCUACCAAGCCUACGAUCCAUAGCUGGUUUGAGAGGAUGAUCAGCCACACUGGGACUGAGACACGGCCCAGACUCCUACGGGAGGCAGCAGUGGGGAAUCUUAGACAAUGGGGGCAACCCUGAUCGAGCCAUGCCGCGUGAGUGAUGAAGGCCUUAGGGUUGUAAAGCUCUUUCAGCUGGGAAGAUAAUGACGGUACCAGCAGAAGAAGCCCCGGCUAACUCCGUG
Molecule: ribosomal RNA, 433 nt
Filed under: uncultured bacterium
Lineage: Bacteria
Description: partial 16S ribosomal RNA
Rfam family: Bacterial small subunit ribosomal RNA
Source: RNAcentral